GACGAACGCUGGCGGCGUGCUUAACACAUGCAAGUCGAACGGAAAGGCCCUGCUUUUGUGGGGUGCUCGAGUGGCGAACGGGUGAGUAACACGUGAGUAACCUGCCCUUGACUUUGGGAUAACUUCAGGAAACUGGGGCUAAUAUCGGAUAGGAGCUCCUGCUGCAUGGUGGGGGUUGGAAAGUUUCGGCGGUUGGGGAUGGACUCGCGGCUUAUCAGCUUGUUGGUGGGGUAGUGGCUUACCAAGGCUUUGACGGGUAGCCGGCCUGAGAGGGUGACCGGCCACAUUGGGACUGAGAUACGGCCCAGACUCCUACGGGAGGCAGCAGUGGGGAAUAUUGCACAAUGGGCGGAAGCCUGAUGCAGCAACGCCGCGUGCGGGAUGACGGCCUUCGGGUUGUAAACCGCUUUCGCCUGUGACGAAGCGUGAGUGACGGUAAUGGGUAAAGAAGCACCGGCUAACUACGUG
This 468-nucleotide ribosomal RNA is filed under the name uncultured bacterium. RNAcentral describes it as "partial 16S ribosomal RNA". It matches the Rfam family "Bacterial small subunit ribosomal RNA", at positions 28 to 507 of the family's 1533-position model. The record is from RNAcentral.